This is a long non-coding RNA of Paramormyrops kingsleyae, 296 nucleotides long. RefSeq lists it as uncharacterized. The record is from RefSeq and is a predicted model, not a curated record. NCBI's taxonomy places the organism in Eukaryota, Metazoa, Chordata, Actinopteri, Osteoglossiformes, Mormyridae.
GCAUUACCAUGCAAAAAAAUUUUGGUGGAAGGUGGUUUUUCUCUGGAUCCCAUCUGUACAUUUACUCCUGAAUUGCAGGGAAAUAAGGGCACCAUUUAACGGACAGGCUUCCCUAGACUCGACUGACUGGAAUCAAUCCUACAACCAGGAGAUGAGAUCUUAAUGUGUUUGGGAGUGAUUGUGGAGGGGAUGAUGGGAAGAGAGACACAUGAUUAUUCUGUCCACCAUCCAGCUUGUAGUGUCUCUUUCCCAUGAUUUUAAUGAGGUUGCGGAAGGCUGAAGGAAUACAAGAGACA